GACGAACGCUGGCGGCGUGCCUAAUACAUGCAAGUUGAGCGAUGAAGAUUGGUGCUUGCACCAAUUUGAAGAGCAGCGAACGGGUGAGUAACGCGUGGGGAAUCUGCCUUUGAGCGGGGGACAACAUUUGGAAACGAAUGCUAAUACCGCAUAACAACUUUAAACAUAAGUUUUAAGUUUGAAAGAUGCAAUUGCAUCACUCAAAGAUGAUCCCGCGUUGUAUUAGCUAGUUGGUGAGGUAAAGGCUCACCAAGGCGAUGAUACAUAGCCGACCUGAGAGGGUGAUCGGCCACAUUGGGACUGAGACACGGCCCAAACUCCUACGGGAGGCAGCAGUAGGGAAUCUUCGGCAAUGGACGAAAGUCUGACCGAGCAACGCCGCGUGAGUGAAGAAGGGUGUCGGAUCGUAAAACUCUGUUGGUAGAGAAGAACGUUGGUGAGAGUGGAAAGCUCAUCGAGUGACGGUAACUACCCAGAAAGGGACGGCUAACUACGUG
RNAcentral lists this ribosomal RNA (497 nucleotides) under uncultured bacterium. RNAcentral's name for it is "partial 16S ribosomal RNA". It matches the Rfam family "Bacterial small subunit ribosomal RNA", at positions 28 to 507 of the family's 1533-position model. The record is from RNAcentral.